This 352-nucleotide unclassified non-coding RNA is filed under the name soil metagenome. RNAcentral's name for it is "partial contains 5.8S ribosomal RNA, internal transcribed spacer 2, and large subunit ribosomal RNA". The stretch from base 1 to 120 matches the Rfam family "5.8S ribosomal RNA", at positions 35 to 154 of the family's 154-position model. The record is from RNAcentral.
GAUGAAGAACGCAGCGAAAUGCGAUAAGUAAUGUGAAUUGCAGAAUUCAGUGAAUCAUCGAAUCUUUGAACGCACAUUGCGCCCGCCAGUAUUCUGGCGGGCAUGCCUGUUCGAGCGUCAUUACAACCCUCAGGCCCCCGGGCCUGGCGUUGGGGAUCGGCGGAGCCCCCCGUGGGCACACGCCGUCCCCCAAAUGCAGUGGCGGUCCCGCCGCAGCUUCCAUCGCGUAGUAGCUAACACCUCGCGACUGGAGAGCGGAGCGGCCACGCCGUAAAACACCCAACUCUUCUGAAGUUGACCUCGAAUCAGGUAGGAAUACCCGCUGAACUUAAGCAUAUCAAUAAGCGGAGGA